GGAGGAAAAGAAAAUAACAAUGAUUUCCCUAGUAACGGCGAGUGAAGAGGAAAGAGCUCAAAGUUGGAAACUGUUUGGCUUAGCUAAACCGUAUUGUAAACUGUAGAAACAUUUUCCUGGCACACCAGAUUAAUAAGUCCUUUGGAACAAGGCAUCAUGGAGGGUGAGAAUCCCGUCUUUGAUCUGAGUAGUUGUCUUUUGUGAUAUGUUUUCAAAGAGUCAGGUUGUUUGGGAAUGCAGCCUAAAUUGGGUGGUAAAUCUCACCUAAAGCUAAAUAUUUGCGAGAGACCGAUAGCGAACAAGUACCGUGAGGGAAAGAUGAAAAGAACUUUGAAAAGAGAGUUAAACAGUAUGUGAAAUUGUUAAAAGGGAACCGUUUGGAGCCAGACUGGUUUGACUGUAAUCAACCUAGAAUUCGUUUUGGGUGCACUUGCAGUCUAUACCUGCCAACAACAGUUUGAUUUGGAGGACAAAAUUAAUAGGAAUGUAGCCUCUCGAGGUGUUAUAGACUAUUAUCAUACUCUGGAUUGGACUGAGGAACGCAGCGAAUGCCUUUAGGCAAGAUUGCUGGGUGCUUUCGCUAAUAAAUGUUAGAAUUUCUGCUUCGGGUGGUGCUAAUGUUUAAAGGAGGAACACAUCUAGUAUAUUUUUUAUUCGCUUAGGUUGUUGGCUUAAUGACUCUAAUGAC
Molecule: ribosomal RNA, 688 nt
Filed under: Mucor circinelloides
Lineage: Eukaryota; Fungi; Mucoromycota; Mucoromycetes; Mucorales; Mucoraceae
Description: eukaryotic LSU rRNA
Rfam family: Eukaryotic large subunit ribosomal RNA
Source: RNAcentral